This is a non-coding RNA of Dermacentor andersoni, 3948 nucleotides long. NCBI's taxonomy places the organism in Eukaryota, Metazoa, Arthropoda, Arachnida, Ixodida, Ixodidae. The record is from RefSeq and is a predicted model, not a curated record.
UUCAUUCCGACCUUGCACUUUGUUGUAUUACCGACCACUGGAAUUCGUUAAUUGAAUUAGCUUGGUGAUUUACUUAUAUUAAGAGAUAUUGAACUUGUAUUAAUGCAGCUUAAAAUAAUGCCUGUAAAAAAAUUUGCAAUGACAUUUUAAGGUUGCAGGCUUGCAGUUGACUAGCAGAUCACUUGAUGGUAUGAGCUCAGGUUUCAACCGAGCUUCCACGCACAAAUCAGUUGCACAUUUUUCUUUCAUUGUUUAGAUUUUCAUAAACAUAAGUACCGUUUCUUUUUUGUCAGGCUUCUAGUUGUGUCGUAGGACCUAACUGUUUACCUUUAUUUGUAUUGGUAGCCGUGUUACACAGACAGCUCAAUUUUUAUUGUAAAUCGUGACAUGGUAGGACUAAGAACAAUUGUGCAAAUUUGUUGCAGGUACACUAUGGCGGCUCCUACUCCUGCGUCCUACCACCACCCUGUCCUGACUACGUCCACUAGGGAGUUGGGAGCCUUUGGCGGCUUCUGCCACUGCAUCCUGCCGCCACCAUGUCCCAACUACGUCCACUAGGGAGUUGGCAGGCUUAGUGAUGAUGCCAGCAGGCUGACAGCCGACAGAAAGAUUCAGGCUGCCUCGAAAUUUUACCCAAGCCAUGCCGCACACUUGGGCCAAGCCUCUUGUGAACGACGUAUAACCAGGCUCAACACAUGAGUGUCGAGUGAGUCCGGAGAUCAAGGCAACCUGCUGUGCAACCAGCGUGCAACCUUUGGUGACCCCUCUAAUGUUCUACCUAUUUCACAGCUGUGCCUCACCUACCAUCUAUCCAAACAGCGUCACCAUCUGUGAUCACUUAUCGAACCAUGGAUGAAUGUUGGGGUGGAGUGAUUUAAACAUUCUAUUUGUCUCUUCAAAUUCUUUGCAAAUAUUUCUGCUAUUAUAAUUCAUAUGUCUUUAGUACCUAGUUUUUAAUAGUUCCUUUCUCUUAGAAUUCUCACCAUCUACUCCUGCUAUUAUAAUGUAUACCUGCCUUUAAGCCCUGUUUCUCGUAGUUCUUUUGUACUUGUGGAUGUAAUUGAUAGGUUCUUAAUUCUUGUUAUACAGAAGGCCAAAAUGCCAACUUAGGGCAUUUUUUCUUCCUUUGAUAAUCUACAGCACUGCAAUGUGUUCAAGAAAUGUAACAUAACACGUGCUCUGGUGCAGGAUAAAUUUAAGAGCAAUAUAGAGUACUUACUUCAAGCACCCGUUAUUUUUGAAAAACUCAAGGAUAUAGGAGCACAAGAAAGAAAAUAUUGAACUAGAGAAACAUGGCACCCCUCAUAAGUCUGGUAAUAAUGUGACUUCCUUUCACUGCAAAGAUACUGGUACUCGCAUACAAGGUUUCAGACAUGAAAGCUAUGAUACCCUUGGCAUUUCUCAGUGCUUAUUUGCCACACUGACGAAUGUCAAAGGCAGCAUAGGUUUCAUGCACACAUUGGUUGUAUUACACCUUUUGAGUAUUGCAUUUCUCAAACACUCAGGUUUGCAGCAGUGCUUUAAAUAGCAGAUGUAUUUCCUAAUUUUAAGAAUUUGUUAGUGCAAGAGUAACACUACAGAUCAUGUAAAAAUAAUUUUACAGACUAUAUGUCCAUGGAUGCAUGCUUCUUCUGAUGAUGUAGCAGUGCCAUGUGGUUGGGGGAUGAAUGUCUAUUUCAGAUUUAAAUAUUGGCUUCCAGGCCCGGGUUAGUCUCCUACACUGAGUAUUCUAGGUCAGAGCCUAGUUACUGGAGGAAAGUGAAUUAAACUAGGAAUUAUAAACAUCAAAGGUCUUGUUCGGGACACUAAUGUAACAAUCAGCAAGGUUCUUUGUGCAUUAAUUUCCAGAUUUGCUAGAUUAUAUUUUGACUGGUUUCAUUAAUGCGAGAACAAAUAUUUGUUUAUUCUCAUGCUAGAGUUGGCUGCCCCCAUUCGCAUACAACCACUUUACAGGCUAAAAAUUCAGUGUAAUAAUAGGCUGUUUUUUGGUUUUGCGCCGUCAGUGUUAAGGGAUGCAAACGGUGACAUACCACAGAAUGCAGAAAAAUGUCUAAGGAAUGCAAGCAGGGCAUAGGGCUUUUUAGGCAGAUGCGUGCAUGUGCUAUUUAUAAAACUCCCUAUGGUAUGACUCAAGGCAUUUUUAACCCUUUAGUAGAAACACUGACGCCCACUUAUUAAGGGGAAAUGCUCCUCGAAACAAUUUUUUUUAAUUAUUUGUGCUAGAGAUUUGAAUGUGCCGCCAUUCAUAGGGAGUUUUAUGUAUAUUUGAAUUGUCAUUGGUUUUUGUGUAGCUGGCGUUUUUUAGUUAUGUCCUAUAUAGUGGCAAUAUAUUUUUAUGGGCACUUUCGUGUGUAAAAAGUUCCGCAAAUAGUUUCAUGCUGUAUCUUAUUUAGCUAGUUGUAUACCGCAAAGUGGCGAUACCUAUCCAAACAGCUUGUACAAUUACUGGAACUGUGCAAAAAUAUAUAGGCCACUUUAAAUAAUUUUUACAGAUUGCAAUUUCAAUUAGAUAUCGGUAUUCUGCAUAUUUUGAAGAGUAUGUAUGCCAAAUUUCGUUUCUGUAGAACAAUUAUAAGUGCACAAGGUCAUUCUCAUGCUAUUAUGACAAAAAAAAUUAUUGAAGUAUUCUCAAUAAUUUUUUUUCACAGAGUACAUGAGAGGUAUGCAAGAUUAUUAGGCAGGCCUUCCUGCCUGCCUACUAUCUUGCAUACUUCUAGUAACUUUACAUGCUGUUUGAAUAGAUAUCGGCACCUUGCAGUCUACAGGGAGCUGAGUUAGCUGCAACACACUGCUUUUUGUGAAGAUUUAAUACACAAGAAAAUGCCCGCAAAUAUCACUAUGUAUUUUGCCGUUGUGUAGGGCAUAACUCAAGAAGCAGCUAAACAAAAAUAAAUGGAAUAUAUGAAAUCUGCAUGAAGAACUCUACAAUUGGCUCUCUUUUCAAACCUCUAGUACAAAUAAUAAAAAUAUUUCGAGUAAUAUUCAAUCAGCAAAACGUUCCCCUUGCUACAGUGACCUACAACAUAGCGACGCAAAGUUUAAGGCAAGUCCUUUUGUCGAAGCGAAUCUGGGCUGUCUUCCCAAGAGCUGUUAAAGACGGUGAAUUUUCCUGCAUUUGCCAGAAGUGCAAUACUAAAAUGUUUGUGAAUGUGCAAUUGGUAUUGGCACGCUAACAGAAAAAAACACAGUUCUGUGAAAUGUAGACUUGGUUAUAACUUUGUUGGGCAUUUAAAUUUUGACUCCAUAUAUUUAUUUUGUGUUUUGUACUGAGUAUUUCAGCGGUGACUGCCACUAAUUAUUGAACAUAACUGCUUCAUGACAGUGCGACAAUUUUCACUAACAGAAAUUUAUAGCAGUGGCAGGCAUUAUAAUUACAGUACUCAAUAACGUCUACUUUGUAAGAACUCAGACUAGCACCAGUUCUGAGAUACACAUACCCAAAAAGUAAUGAUCAAAUAGAUUUCUCUUCCACACAGAAUUGUCCCACAAGGCUUACAGGAGGCUUUUUGGCAAAGUAAUAUCUGAAAGAUCAAAGCAUGGGUUCCACCAAGUAUGAUAACAAAUAUUUCAGAGCUGCCAGUCUGAGGACUCCUACAAACUAACAAUACCUUCAGCACUACUAGCUUCAAUAAUGGGAUGUCAGCAUUUUGCUGAAAUUAAUGAAACUUCAAUUAUCGUGAUCUUGUUUAAGAAGACAUUUGAAAUUAACAUGCAGUUCUAAUCUCUGUCACUUUUGUAAAUAUUUCCCAAUUAUUUUUUCAGGCUACAGUUUUUGGUAAUAAUGGUAUUCAUUGCAGAAAGAGCUAGUACAUGGCAUUUAAUAAAAAAAGGUACUGGUCAUUGUAGAUUUUGUGUCUUGAGCAUUUGUUCUGUUCCACCGCUGUUUCUUGAAAUCUGAAAUGAUGUACCCAUCUCUUUGUUAGCGAUAAACAGGGAAAUCUGUCAGUA